Molecule: ribosomal RNA, 227 nt
Filed under: uncultured bacterium
Lineage: Bacteria
Description: partial 16S ribosomal RNA
Rfam family: Bacterial small subunit ribosomal RNA
Source: RNAcentral
GAUCCUGGCUCAGGACGAACGCUGGCGGCGUGCUUAACACAUGCAAGUCGAACGAUGAAAGAGAAUCCGAUCUCUUCGGAGUGAAGAAUCUCUGGAUUAGUGGCGGACGGGUGAGUAACGCGUGAGCAAUCUGCCUUACACAAAGGGAUAGCCUCGGGAAACCGGGAUUAAUACCAUAUGAUAUCACAUUUUCGCAUGAAGAAGUGAUUAAAGAAUUUCGGUGUAAG